AGCACUGUCAAAUGAGAGCAAGUACCGUGAGAGUGAUUUGUGAGAGCAGAGGUUAUUUUUUUGGUAUACACAGUGAGUGAAGAAAACAUUUUAGUUUUUAGGGUUUCAUAAAUAAAAUAAUAAAUUAAAAAAAUAAAAUUAGGUAGGUGGGUUGGUGGGCCAACCCGGCUCACCACGGGUUUAACCCGCAUGAGCCGGGUCUAAAUGAGCCGGGUUGAAAUCUGACCCGCAUAUAAGUGGAUUGUAUUUUUCA
Molecule: long non-coding RNA, 253 nt
Filed under: Vigna radiata
Lineage: Eukaryota; Viridiplantae; Streptophyta; Magnoliopsida; Fabales; Fabaceae
Description: long non-coding RNA (VRAD_LNC015152)
Source: RNAcentral